RNAcentral lists this ribosomal RNA (167 nucleotides) under uncultured bacterium. Its description in RNAcentral is "partial 16S ribosomal RNA". The stretch from base 32 to 167 matches the Rfam family "Bacterial small subunit ribosomal RNA", at positions 401 to 526 of the family's 1533-position model. The record is from RNAcentral.
CGCGCAAAGGGGGAAGCAUGAUAAGCGAGCAGCGUGUACAGAAGAAGGCCUUCGGGUUGUAAAACUCUUUCGGCCGGGAAGAAAUCGCAUGGGCCAAUACCCUGUGUGGAUGACGGUACCGGAAUAAGAAGCACCGGCUAAAUACGUGCCAGCAGCCGCGGUAAUAA